UACGUAGGGGGCAAGCGUUGUCCGGGUUUUUUGGGCGUAAAGAGCUUGUAGGCGGCCAUACAGGUCCGUUGGGAAAACUGGAGGCUUAACCUCCAGACGUCGAUGGAAACCGUAUGGCUAGAGUCCGGAAGAGGAGAGUGGAAUUCCUGGUGUAGCGGUGAAAUGCGCAGAUAUCAGGAAGAACACCCGUGGCGAAGGCGGCUCUCUGGGACGGUACUGACGCUGAGACGCGAAAGCGUGGGGAGCGAACAGG
Molecule: ribosomal RNA, 253 nt
Filed under: uncultured bacterium
Lineage: Bacteria
Description: partial 16S ribosomal RNA
Rfam family: Bacterial small subunit ribosomal RNA
Source: RNAcentral